UCAAGAAACUUCCACAAUGGGCGAAAGCCUGAUGGAGCGACGUCGCGUGAUGGACGAAGUGCUUCGGCACGUAAACAUCUUUUAUGUGGGAUGAAAUUAUUGACAGUACCACAUGAAUAAGGGGCUCCUAACUCUGUGCCAGCAGGAGCGGUAAUACAGAGGCCCCAAGCGUUAUCCGGAAUCACUGGGCGUAAAGGGUGUCGAGGCGGUUGUAUUAGUCGUUCGUAAAAUCUACGAGCUUAACUUGUAGGCGGCGAACGAAACGGUACGACUUGAGGUUUGGAGAGGUGCGUGGAACUCACGGUGUAGGGGUGAAAUCCGUUGAUAUCGUGGGGAACACCAAAGGCGAAGGCGACCACCUGGACUGAUACUGACACUGAGGUGCGAAAGCGUGGGGAGCAAACAGGAUUAGAUACCCCUGUAGUCCCUGAGCGGGCUGGCAAGGCGCAU
RNAcentral lists this ribosomal RNA (450 nucleotides) under uncultured bacterium. Its description in RNAcentral is "bacterial SSU rRNA". It matches the Rfam family "Bacterial small subunit ribosomal RNA", at positions 355 to 825 of the family's 1533-position model. The record is from RNAcentral.